UACGUAGGGUGCGAGCGUUGUCCGGAAUUAUUGGGCGUAAAGAGCUCGUAGGUGGCGCCGUAAGUCAGGUGUGAAAUUUCGGAGCUUAACUCCGAAACUGCAUUUGAUACUGCGGUGCUUGAGGACUGGAGAGGAGACUGGAAUUUACGGUGUAGCAGUGAAAUGCGUAGAGAUCGUAAGGAAGACCAGUGGCGAAGGCGGGUCUCUGGACAGUUCCUGACACUGAGGCACGAAGGCCAGGGGAGCAAACGGG
This 253-nucleotide ribosomal RNA is filed under the name uncultured bacterium. RNAcentral's name for it is "partial 16S ribosomal RNA". It matches the Rfam family "Bacterial small subunit ribosomal RNA", at positions 524 to 776 of the family's 1533-position model. The record is from RNAcentral.